This 892-nucleotide long non-coding RNA is filed under the name Malus domestica (apple). RNAcentral's name for it is "long non-coding RNA (MDOM_LNC016631)". The record is from RNAcentral. Lineage: Eukaryota; Viridiplantae; Streptophyta; Magnoliopsida; Rosales; Rosaceae.
UAAAAAAUCCAAAAAUAUUGUCUUGUUUCCCUUAUUGUUUUGAAUUAGAUUUUUUGUUAGUUUCCCGACCCAAUGAUAUAAUUGGAUCAAAAAUUUGAACCAUGAUCAUCAAGAACUUAGUUAACAUGUGUUUGGUGAAAUUCCUAAUUCUCUUGUUAGUUUUGUACAUGUUUGACCAUCUUUGAAAAACCAAAUGCACAUAGCCUUGUUAAUGUGAAACUAAAGUAUGACUUAAAGCUUCAUAUGUGAAUUUAGUGACCAUAUACAUCCUAUGUGAGUUUUUGAGCCUAUUGAAAGUGUGUGCAUUUUUCAUACACUCCUAUUUUUUUUUUAUGUGUGAUGAACUUAUGUGAGAUACAUCUCUAGAACUUGCGUAACGAUCUUUCGAAUUGUUUGUCAUUGAUUGCAUGAACUUGGAAAUGAUAGAGGCAUUAGGUUUACCACUAUGGCCCAAAUAACCAUGUUUCCCAAAGAAAAAUGAUAUCAUUAGUUUGCCAAUUUGAGCCGUGUUUGUUGAGCCUUUUAUUUCUUAUCACCAGAUAUGUCUACCCUUAUACCUGAAACAUUUUUCCUUACCCUUUCCAAGCGAGCAAUGCGAAAUUGUCUUAUGAGAAACGUUGGUGAAGUACUGUGAAGAUGUUUGGCAAAAGAAUAAGUGUGGGGGUAUUUCAUGUUUGUAUUUAAAAAAAAAAAAAAAAAAAAAGAAAGAAAAAGAAAGAUUGUAUACAAAGAAAAUAAAAAGUUUUUAAAGUUUCAGUUUAAGGGUGUGGUUGGAGGUGUUAGAAGAAUCGCUGGAAAUAUUGAGUUCUUAUAAAUCUAAACAAAAGAAUUGCUUGCAAUGUAGCUUGGAACUUGUGUUUUCCUAUUCUUUCAUUUCAAUAACCCUAUCCCU